Molecule: ribosomal RNA, 406 nt
Filed under: uncultured bacterium
Lineage: Bacteria
Description: partial 16S ribosomal RNA
Rfam family: Bacterial small subunit ribosomal RNA
Source: RNAcentral
AUUGAACGCUGGCGGCAGGCCUAACACAUGCAAGUCGAACGAGUGGCGGACGGGUGUGUAAUGUCUGGGAAACUGCCUGAUGGAUGGGGAUAACUACUGGAAACGGUAGCUAAUACCGCAUACCAUCGGAUGUUCCCAGAUGGGAUUAGCUAGUAGGUGGGGUAACGGCUCACCUAGGCGACGAUCCCUAGUUGGUCUGAGAGGAUGACCAGCCACACUGGAACUGAGACACUGUCCAGACUCCUACGGGAGGCAGCAGUGGGGAAUAUUGCACAAUGGGCGAAAGCCUGAUGCAGCCAUGCCGCGUGUAUGAAGAAGGCCUUCGGGUUGUAAAGUACUUUCAGCGAGGAGGCGUUACUCGCAGAAGAAGCACCGGCUAACUCCGUGCCAGCAGCCGCGGUAAUAC